This 158-nucleotide ribosomal RNA is filed under the name uncultured bacterium. Its description in RNAcentral is "partial 16S ribosomal RNA". It matches the Rfam family "Bacterial small subunit ribosomal RNA", at positions 355 to 509 of the family's 1533-position model. The record is from RNAcentral.
UGAGGAAUAUUGGUCAAUGGGCGGGGAGCCUGAACCAGCCAAGUCGCGUGAGGGAAGAAGGUGCUGAGCAUUGUAAACCUCUUUUGCCGGGGAACAAACGCCGUCACGAGCUGGCGGUUUGAGUGUACCCGGAGAAAAGCAUCGGCUAACUCCGUGCC